Molecule: long non-coding RNA, 368 nt
Filed under: Elaeis guineensis (African oil palm)
Lineage: Eukaryota; Viridiplantae; Streptophyta; Magnoliopsida; Arecales; Arecaceae
Description: long non-coding RNA (EGUI_LNC017845)
Source: RNAcentral
GGCCCAGAUAUAUAUCUCUUUAUAAAUCUCCUCUUUGAGAUAAAAUAAAUUGACUUGUAUGUAAAAUUUUGUAACUUUGCAUAAUCCAAUCUGUCUAAUGCAACACAUUUAACUCUACUUGAUCUGCCUUAUCCUGAGAUGCUAUCCAUUCUGCUCUGUUUCGGGGCAAGUAUAGAUUGGGUAUAGAUAACGAUCUAUUUGAUUUAUAUUCAAAAAGUUUUCAUCAUUGGUUAUUGUUUCAAAAUAUGCUUCAAAGAUUAUAUGGUAAAAAAAAAUCCCUAACUGAUAUUCUGGUGGGCAUCUAAGGAUUUUUGUUCUUUUCUUUUGGAUUGCGAUUGCCUAAAAAGGUAAAAGCAACGUCAAGAAGC